Molecule: transfer RNA, 74 nt
Filed under: bacterium
Lineage: Bacteria
Description: tRNA-Gly
Rfam family: tRNA
About the family: Transfer RNA (tRNA) molecules are approximately 80 nucleotides in length. Their secondary structure includes four short double-helical elements and three loops (D, anti-codon, and T loops).
Source: RNAcentral
GCGGGCGUAGUAUAGUGGUCGUACGGAACCCUUCCAAGGUUCAGGUACGGGUUCGAUUCCCGUCGCCCGCUCCA